Molecule: ribosomal RNA, 250 nt
Filed under: uncultured bacterium
Lineage: Bacteria
Description: partial 16S ribosomal RNA
Rfam family: Bacterial small subunit ribosomal RNA
Source: RNAcentral
AUACGAAGGGGUGCAAGCGUUACUCGGAAUUACUGGGCGUAAAGCGUGCGUAGGCGGUUUGUUAAGUCUGACGUGAAAUCCCCCGGGGCUCAACCUGGGACGUGCGUUGGAAACUGGCGAUCUAGAGUACGGUAGAGGGUGGUGGAAUUCCCGGUGUAGCAGUGAAAUGCGUAGAGAUCGGGAGGAACACUCGUGGCGAAGGCGGCCACCUGGACCAGUACUGACGCUGAGGCACGAAAGCGUGGGGAGC